CGGGGCGUAGCGCAGCUUGGUAGCGCGCACGGUUCGGGACCGUGAGGUCGGAGGUUCAAAUCCUCUCGCCCCGA
RNAcentral lists this transfer RNA (74 nucleotides) under Deltaproteobacteria bacterium. RNAcentral's name for it is "tRNA-Pro". It matches the Rfam family "tRNA". From Rfam's summary of the family: Transfer RNA (tRNA) molecules are approximately 80 nucleotides in length. Their secondary structure includes four short double-helical elements and three loops (D, anti-codon, and T loops). Further hydrogen bonds mediate the characteristic L-shaped molecular structure. tRNAs have two regions of fundamental functional importance: the anti-codon, which is responsible for specific mRNA codon recognition, and the 3' end, to which the tRNAs corresponding amino acid is attached (by aminoacyl-tRNA synthetases). tRNAs cope with the degeneracy of the genetic code in two manners: having more than one tRNA (with a specific anti-codon) for a particular amino acid; and 'wobble' base-pairing, i.e. permitting non-standard base-pairing at the 3rd anti-codon position. RNAcentral also lists the same sequence under 5 other names. The record is from RNAcentral. Lineage: Bacteria; Pseudomonadati; Myxococcota; Myxococcia.